AUUGAACGCUGGCGGCAUGCUUUACACAUGCAAGUCGAACGGCAGCGCGGGCUUCGGCCUGGCUGCGAGUGUCGAACGGGUGAGUAAUGCAUCUGAACGUGCCCAGUAGUGGGGGAUAGCCCGUCGAAAGCCGGAUUAAUACCGCAUACGACCUGAUGGUGAAAGCGGGGGACCGAAAGGCCUCGCGCUAUUGGAGCGGCCGAUGUCGGAUUAGCUAGUUGGUGGGGUAAAGGCUUACCAAGGCGACGAUCCGUAGCUGGUCUGAGAGGACGACCAGCCACACUGGGACUGAGACACGGCCCAGACUCCUAAGGGAGGCAGCAGUGGGGAAUUUUGGACAAUGGGGGCAAACCUGAUCCAGCCAUGCCGCGUGCGGGAAGAAGGCCUUCGGGUUGUAAACCGCUUUUGUUCGGGAAGAAAUCCUCUGGGCUAAUACCCCGGGGGGAUGACGGUACCGGAAGAAUAAGCACCGGCUAACUACGUG
Molecule: ribosomal RNA, 484 nt
Filed under: uncultured bacterium
Lineage: Bacteria
Description: partial 16S ribosomal RNA
Rfam family: Bacterial small subunit ribosomal RNA
Source: RNAcentral